CAGCAGCCACGGGAAUACGGAGGGUGCAAGCGUUAAUUGGAAUUACUGGGCGUAAAGCGCACGCAGGCGGUCUGACAAGUCAGAUGUGAAAUCCCCGGGCUUAACCUGGGAACUGCAUUUGAAACUGUCAGGCUGGAGUCUUGUAGAGGGGGGUAGAAUUCCAGGUGUAGCGGUGAAAUGCGUAGAGAUCUGGAGGAAUACCGGUGGCGAAGGCGGCCCCCUGGACAAAGACUGACGCUCAGGUGCGAAAGCGUGGGGAGCAAACAGGAUUAGAUACCCGCGUAGUCCCUGUCUCUUAUAA
RNAcentral lists this ribosomal RNA (301 nucleotides) under uncultured bacterium. Its description in RNAcentral is "partial 16S ribosomal RNA". It matches the Rfam family "Bacterial small subunit ribosomal RNA", at positions 509 to 809 of the family's 1533-position model. The record is from RNAcentral.